GUCGUUGUAGUAUAGUGGUAAGUAUUCGCGCCUGUCACUCGGGUGACCUGGGUUCGAUCCCCGGCAACGGCG
RNAcentral lists this transfer RNA (72 nucleotides) under Triticum aestivum (bread wheat). It matches the Rfam family "tRNA". Rfam says of the family: Transfer RNA (tRNA) molecules are approximately 80 nucleotides in length. Their secondary structure includes four short double-helical elements and three loops (D, anti-codon, and T loops). Lineage: Eukaryota; Viridiplantae; Streptophyta; Magnoliopsida; Poales; Poaceae. The record is from Rfam by way of RNAcentral.